RNAcentral lists this ribosomal RNA (311 nucleotides) under Leptospira borgpetersenii serovar Ballum. RNAcentral's name for it is "partial 16S ribosomal RNA". It matches the Rfam family "Bacterial small subunit ribosomal RNA", at positions 1223 to 1533 of the family's 1533-position model. Lineage: Bacteria; Pseudomonadati; Spirochaetota; Leptospiria; Leptospirales; Leptospiraceae. The record is from RNAcentral.
UGCUACAAUGGCGCAUACAAAGAGAAGCGACCUCGCGAGAGCAAGCGGACCUCCUAAAGUGCGUCGUAGUCCGGAUUGGAGUCUGCAACUCGACUCCAUGAAGUCGGAAUCGCUAGUAAUCGUGGAUCAGAAUGCCACGGUGAAUACGUUCCCGGGCCUUGUACACACCGCCCGUCACACCAUGGGAGUGGGUUGCAAAAGAAGUAGGUAGCUUAACCUUCGGGAGGGCGCUUACCACUUUGUGAUUCAUGACUGGGGUGAAGUCGUAACAAGGUAACCGUAGGGGAACCUGCGGUUGGAUCACCUCCUUA